This 1249-nucleotide ribosomal RNA is filed under the name uncultured Gammaproteobacteria bacterium. RNAcentral's name for it is "bacterial SSU rRNA". It matches the Rfam family "Bacterial small subunit ribosomal RNA", at positions 9 to 1252 of the family's 1533-position model. Lineage: Bacteria; Pseudomonadati; Pseudomonadota; Gammaproteobacteria. The record is from RNAcentral.
GAGUUUGAUCCUGGCUCAGAUUGAACGCUGGCGGCAGGCUUAACACAUGCAAGUCGAACGGUAACAUGAGUGCUUGCACUUGAUGACGAGUGGCGGACGGGUGAGUAAUGUAUGGGGAUCUGCCGAAUGGAGGGGGACAACAGUUGGAAACGACUGCUAAUACCGCAUAAAGUUGAGAGACCAAAGCAUGGGACCUUCGGGCCAUGCGCCAUUUGAUGAACCCAUAUGGGAUUAGCUAGUUGGUAGGGUAAUGGCUUACCAAGGCGACGAUCUCUAGCUGGUCUGUGAGGAUGACCAGCCACACUGGAACUGAGACACGGUCCAGACUCCUACGGGAGGCAGCAGUGGGGAAUAUUGCACAAUGGGGGGAACCCUGAUGCAGCCAUGCCGCGUGUAUGAAGAAGGCCUUCGGGUUGUAAAGUACUUUCGGUGAUGAGGAAGGUGGUGUAUCUAAUAGGUGCAUCAGUUGACGUUAAUUACAGAAGAAGCACCGGCUAACUCCGUGCCAGCAGCUGCGGUAAUACGGAGGGUGCGAGCGUUAAUCGGAAUGACUGGGCGUAAAGGGCAUGUAGGCGGAUAAUUAAGUUAGGUGUGAAAGCCCUGGGCUCAACCUAGGAAUUGCACUUAAAACUGGUUAACUAGAGUAUUGUAGAGGAAGGUAGAAUUCCACGUGUAGCGGUGAAAUGCGUAGAGAUGUGGAGGAAUACCGGUGGCGAAGGCGGCCUUCUGGACAGAUACUGACGCUGAGAUGCGAAAGCGUGGGGAGCAAACAGGAUUAGAUACCCUGGUAGUCCACGCUGUAAACGAUGUCGAUUUGGAGUUUGUUGCCUAGAGUGAUGGGCUCCGAAGCUAACGCGAUAAAUCGACCGCCUGGGGAGUACGGCCGCAAGGUUAAAACUCAAAUGAAUUGACGGGGGCCCGCACAAGCGGUGGAGCAUGUGGUUUAAUUCGAUGCAACGCGAAGAACCUUACCUGGUCUUGACAUCCACAGAAUCUUGCAGAGAUGUGAGAGUGCCUUCGGGAACUGUGAGACAGGUGCUGCAUGGCUGUCGUCAGCUCGUGUUGUGAAAUGUUGGGUUAAGUCCCGCAACGAGCGCAACCCUUAUCCUUUGUUGCCAUCGGUUAGGCCGGGAACUCAAAGGAGACUGCCGUUGAUAAAGCGGAGGAAGGUGGGGACGACGUCAAGUCAUCAUGGCCCUUACGACCAGGGCUACACACGUGCUACAAUGGCGUAUACAAAGGGAGGCGA